Molecule: ribosomal RNA, 253 nt
Filed under: uncultured bacterium
Lineage: Bacteria
Description: partial 16S ribosomal RNA
Rfam family: Bacterial small subunit ribosomal RNA
Source: RNAcentral
UACGUAGGGUGCAAGCGUUGUCCGGAAUUAUUGGGCGUAAAGAGCUCGUAGGUGGUUUGUCACGUCUGCCGUGAAAGCCCGGGGCUUAACUCCGGGUCUGCGGUGGAUACGGGCAGACUAGAGGCAGGUAGGGGAGAACGGAAUUCCCGGUGGAGCGGUGAAAUGCGUAGAGAUCGGGAAGAACGCCGGCGGCGAAAGCGACUCUCUGGUCGGAAUCUGACGCUGAGGUGCGAAAGCUAGGGGAGCAAACGGG